GGUUACUGCUAUCGGUGUUCGUCUAAGCCAUGCGAGUCAUAUGUAGCAAUACAUGGCGUACUGCUCAGUAACACGUGGAUAACCUGCCCUUGGGUCCGGCAUAACCCCGGGAAACUGGGGAUAAUUCCGGAUAACGCACAUAUGCUGGAAUGCUUUAUGCGUGAAAUGGAUUCGUCUGCCCAAGGAUGGGUCUGUGGCCUAUCAGGUAGUAGUGGGUGUAAUGUACCUACUAGCCUACGACGGGUACGGGUUGUGAGAGCAAGAGCCCGGAGAUGGAUUCUGAGACAUGAAUCCAGGCCCUACGGGGCGCAGCAGGCGCGAAAACUUUACAAUGCGGGAAACCGUGAUAAGGGGACACCGAGUGCCAGCAUCCUAUGCUGGCUGUCCAGGUGUGUAAACUACACCCGUUAGCAAGGGUCGGGCAAGACCGGUGCCAGCCGCCGCGGUAACACCGGCGGCCCGAGUGGUGAUCGUGAUUAUUGGGUCUAAAGGGUCCGUAGCCGGUUUGGUCAGUCCUCCGGGAAAUCUGACAGCUUAACUGUUAGGCUUUCGGAGGAUACUGCCAGACUUGGAACCGGGAGAGGUAAGAGGUACUACAGGGGUAGGAGUGAAAUCUUGUAAUCCCUGUGGGACCACCUGUGGCGAAGGCGUCUUACCAGAACGGGUUCGACGGUGAGGGACGAAAGCUGGGGGCACGAACCGGAUUAGAUACCCGGGUAGUCCCAGCCGU
This 730-nucleotide ribosomal RNA is filed under the name uncultured archaeon. Its description in RNAcentral is "bacterial SSU rRNA". It matches the Rfam family "Archaeal small subunit ribosomal RNA", at positions 21 to 754 of the family's 1478-position model. The record is from RNAcentral.